CGCAAGCGCAGUUAGUAUUUUGUAGAAUACUGACGUCGAAACAAAGUAGAUAGCCGAUAGGCUCAGUGGACGCCAUUUCCCUGUCAAACUCAAACUUAAAAAAUUGCCAAAAAUGACAAGGGGAAAUCAGAGAGAAAAAUCUCGUGAAAAGGCAAUAAAAAAACAGAAGGAGGCAGAGAAAAAGAAAGGUUCAAAUGAAAAGGGUGCAAAUAAAGGCCUAACUUUAGAAGAGAGAAGACAUCGGGAUGCGGAAAUAAUGAGGCAAAAGCAGGAAAAGAAGGCAGAAGCAGCCCAAGGGGAAGUGAAAAAAUAAACAACAUGUCAGAUUAGUGGUCAAAAACAGAUUUUGUACUGGACAGAACAGCCUUAUUACCUCGGACUGAGAUUUCUAUGGAUUUCAAUACACAGCACCUGGGGGUUGUCAUUUUUUUUUUAAGGAGGAUUAAUGUUAUAAAAUGGAAGUAUAAACAAUAAUUUGUUUAGAAAAAAUUCAGAAUAUUAAUUAAUGAAAUUCAAGCUUUUUAUUAAUUAUAAAAGUAUGUUUUUGGAUUUCGUAUUUGUAUAGAUGUUGGUUAUUUUAAAGGAAUAAUUUUAUGUUGAAACAAAGAGAAUUGAUUGCAAUUUGCAAAUCAAAUGAAAUGUUAUUUGUAUUUCAGAUCAUUCAUUACAAACAAGUUGACUUUUUCUAGGGAAGUAAAAAUGUUCUAUGCAAAAGCAAAACAGAAAUCAUUAUGCUAGAAUUUAUUACCAUAUAGAUUCAUGUGUCAUAGGAUGUUAAUACUUCUGACAUACAGUGAAUGAAAUCUUAAGUUUACUGCUCUUCAUAGUAAAUUACAGUAUAGUUUCGUACAUUUCAUAUUUCUAUAACAAAAGAGGAUUUUUUGUGCUAAUUUAACUUUUUUUAAAUCUGUGUUUCACAGCCUUUUUGAUCACAAGUUUCAGCAAAAUACUAAGUUUUGGAUAUGUUAUAAAAUUUUGUCCAUUUUUUUGUGCAUAAAAUAUUUUAGUUUGAAUUGUCAGUAUUUUACUGAAAGUUUAAGUUUCCUAGCGAAUGUUAAAGGUGUCAUGCAUUUUGUGUCAUAUUUGAUAGGAGUUUUGAACUUUAGUGUUCUUGUUUACUUUUUACAUUUGUUAAUUUUUUUAAGAUAUGAACAGAGAAUGUGUAAAGUUGUAUUUGGUGACUUUUUCAAAUUUUGCAAACAAAACUUUUUCAGCAUUUGAGAAUAGAAACUGUACACCAUGUAUGAAUUUAUUAAACAGCACAGAUUUCUGGA
Magallana angulata is the source of this 1274-nucleotide long non-coding RNA. RefSeq lists it as uncharacterized. The transcript has 3 exons. NCBI's taxonomy places the organism in Eukaryota, Metazoa, Mollusca, Bivalvia, Ostreida, Ostreidae. The record is from RefSeq and is a predicted model, not a curated record.